This 447-nucleotide ribosomal RNA is filed under the name uncultured bacterium. RNAcentral describes it as "bacterial SSU rRNA". It matches the Rfam family "Bacterial small subunit ribosomal RNA", at positions 329 to 793 of the family's 1533-position model. The record is from RNAcentral.
GUCCAGACUCCUACGGGAGGCAGCAGUGGGGAAUAUUGCACAAUGGGGGAAACCCUGAUGCAGCGACGCCGCGUGAGCGAUGAAGUAUUUCGGUAUGUAAAGCUCUAUCAGCAGGGAAGAAGAUGACGGUACCUGACUAAGAAGCCCCGGCUAACUACGUGCCAGCAGCCGCGGUAAUACGUAGGGGGCAAGCGUUAUCCGGAUUUACUGGGUGUAAAGGGAGCGUAGACGGCGAUGCAAGCCAGAUGUGAAAGCCCGGGGCUCAACCCCGGGACUGCAUUUGGAACUGUGUGGCUGGAGUGUCGGAGAGGCAGGCGGAAUUCCUAGUGUAGCGGUGAAAUGCGUAGAUAUUAGGAGGAACACCAGUGGCGAAGGCGGCCUGCUGGACGAUGACUGACGUUGAGGCUCGAAAGCGUGGGGAGCAAACAGGAUUAGAUACCCUAGUAA